ACCUAUCGCCCGCACGUACGAGCGACCUCUCCUCUCGAUCCACCCCCUCCUGUGCGACCGCUCUCUUUCCCUCUCCUCGCGAUGCGGCGCCGCCCCCAUCUCUCGCUCCGCCGCCACCGCCCCCCGCCUUCCCCUACCUCCCGCUCAGCCACGUCCACCACCCCCACCCUUCUCCCCAUUGCCGGAUCCGCUUGCAGAUCGUCAAGGUUAGGCAGCGGAGCUCCACAUCCGUGACCCGUGCGUGCUUGUCAAGGAAGCUGCUCCUGGAUCUACGCUUGCGCGGCUGUGGCGGAAGGGACACGAGGUGGCCGCCGUCGCCGCGGAAGACCAAUCCCCCACCUUGUCCAGAAACUCUUCCUCCGCCAUGUUUCACCGAGGAAGGAGGGGGCGGCUCAAAGUCUCCCUCGUUGCCGCCUGCAGCCGCAGCCGCCGCCAUGGGUGAGCUCCUCCUACACAACCAGUUUUGAUGGAUUCAUGGGCACAUGCAUGUAUAGCGGCUGGUGCGGCCGGCGGUCGUGCGGCGUCUCGGCCCGAAUGUCAAGUCUAUGUUUGUUUUCCUCCUACUGUGCACUAACCUAGAAGCCUGUAACCAUGUCCGUAGACUAAAUUAAUACUAUCCCUGAGUGAAGGUAAUGUUUCCAGCAAGAGAAUUGACAGUGUUGACAGUGCCGUGAUAUUUCAUAGUUGGAUGAUACAAGGAUCUGAUGUUGUGUGCUGCUACAUCUACACGCCUUCUUUCUUACAGGAAUCGGCUCCGCAGUUUAGUCCUCGAUCUUCCAUGUGGCUUACUGAAUUUGAAGUAGUGAAGGAACUAUGAUCUGAGGCAAAUGUGUGCAGAUAUUCAGUAGCUGAAGCCUCCCGAUUGAUAACAUACACGGAUCUUCAAAAGGCCACAACCACAAUAAUGCAAGGAUCUGCUGAACCAGUGGUUGUAAAGGCUCCGCGUGAGUGAUUCCGUGCAAGGGGAAUGAGAGUUCUAGAAAGAGGUACAUUGGUGAAAUGCAGCAACCAGAUAAAAGAAAUGCAUUUCUCCAUCUCCCUCUGAUGGCAAGUGCGACCCUGAUGAAGCUGCUCCCCUACAUCAAGGACUACCCCGAUAGUGCGGCCUUGAUGGCACAACUCCCAUACACCAAGGACUAGCCCCAUGGUGCGGCCACGACAUCACUGCUCCCCUACACCGCCAACUACAACCUGAGAUCUUAGAACAGGGUAAACCAUUGAGUGGCAAUGAUACAUGUGUGUCCAUUGCAACUUAGAGGUACGACAUAGUGAUUAGCAGCAUGAGGUGCUGAGCACAUCGCGUGUGUGUCUGUAUGUGUGCGCUGAUAUGUGGUUCAUGAGGAACAAACUGAUUAAGCAUGCUCCAAAGCUACGAGCGACUGAACUAGGUAUCUUUUCUAUUUUCAUGGUGAAGCCUGGUUUUAACUGCUAAAGAAUAGCAGGAGAUGGAAUCAUUGAAAUACAAUCAAUUCUUAAGUAAAUGAACUGAGACUUGAUGGUUGUGUGUUAUUGGUACAAUAUGUAUUUUGGGCCUGAAUUGUGACGCAAAUCGAGAAUUCCUGGUUACUUAUUAUUAGUAUAUAGUAUACCUUUUUUGGGCCUGAAUUCUGAACCUUUCUGAUUUUUUUGGUAGUGUGUUAUCAGUGUAGUAUGCAUUUUUGGCCUGAAUCCUUAACCUUAUCUAGGUAUUGGUUUUCUGCAAUCAGUGAAGCACUCAUGGUCAUGCGUAUUUGUUAGUCUACAUUACUUAUAGAUUUAGUUGUUUUGAUAUGUAUCCACUCGUCGGUCAGUUAACUGAAAUUUGUUGGCAGUGGUUCUUUAUGUUCUUUAACUGUUAUACAGAAGCAGCGGACUGAAACAUUUAAAAACAAUCAGCUCUUUAUGAAUUAACUAAAGACUUGAUGGUUGCGUUAUUAUUAUAGUAUAUACAUUUUUGGGCUUGAAUUACAAAUCCGAUUAAAAUAUCCUUGUUUUGUGUUAUUAUUAUGGUAAUGUUAUCGAGAUUUGUUAAUGUUUUUUUCCUUUCCUUCCUAAACUUCUGAUACUCUCUGCAGUGAUGAAAUGUUUUUGCAUGUCAGUUAAGUACCAGGGCAACCACAGAUGAUGUUCCUUUCUUUCAUUGAGUUGCCUUACUGUUAUGUCGUCCAACUUUUUGUUAAUAUACACACUCGACAACUUACUGUUAUAACAUCCAACUUUUUGUUAAUACACACUUGAUUCUGGAACCCAUGAACUCUUUGUCUCUCCGAGGACAUGUUUCACAUCUACUCCUGUUUGUAAAAAAACAUUAUAGUCUAUUAUGUGCUAUGUAGGCAAAAAAUACAUAAUUGGUUCUCUUCUAUGUGCUUUCCUUAAUGAAUACACUUGGUUCACAAAAGCCUUAGCAUAAUUUGUUGAACAAGUUUUGCCUAACUUUAUUUCUUGCAUCUCCUGUGGUAGGUUUUAUUUCUUGGUACUUGUAAAAUUGUUCAGAUUACUUAGCUUCGUUCAGCUGCUGUGUUGACUAAAUCUACUGUGCCUAUAAGCAUACGUGCUUGCACGUGACCAUGUCGGCUAUGUUGUUAUUCUUUCUUGAAUUGGUAGGUUGAAACCAAGAGGGCAUUGUAAACUUUGAUGACACUUUGUGGGAAACCAAUUACUUCAUGGCCAGAGGUGAUUUUGGAAUGGAGAUUUCAGUUGAGAAGAUAUUCCUUGCACAGAAAAUGAUGAUCAACAAGUGCAACCUUGCUGGUGAGCCCGUUGUCACAGCGAUUGUAGGCACCAUCCAUUCCAAUUGUCCAUUGGUUUAACUUCAGUUUUUUUAUGUACAACUUAUAGGCCGGACUGAUUUUUUUACUUGCCCUGAUGAAGCUGUAGACUAUACACAUAAGUUGCUGAUUUUGCAUGUUAUACUUGUGUAAAUGUUGUUCCACCUUCCCACUUUGUAAUUUCAUGGCCAUUUCAGAUGAUCUAGACAUUUAAUGUAUGGAAUAUACAUUGGCACUAAAUAAGGAAUAUUGGAAGAUAGUAUGCCACAAUAUCUGUUAUGAGCUUUUCAGAAAGUUGUAAAGAAUAGUUCUAUUUUUUGUGGGUAGUCAAUCAAAUUAUGGUUCUUGGUUGAAGCCCUCUUGAUGAACGACACCCCAUGCAGUAGCGACAAUGACCACAUGGAAGAGAUUAAGAACAUCAGCAACAUCUUGCGGUGUUCCUCCUCAUCGUUGUUGUCACCACCGAAUAAUGACGACCAGCUCAUUAGACCGCUACUAGAGCAUUGGAGCCUUCUUGAGAAGGCAACACACCUGAGAUCGGGAGAGAGUGAGCGAGAGAGAGGGGGAGAGAUCGAGGGAGGGAGGG
Triticum aestivum (bread wheat) is the source of this 3333-nucleotide RNA transcript. RefSeq lists it as uncharacterized. The transcript is spliced from 6 exons. Lineage: Eukaryota; Viridiplantae; Streptophyta; Magnoliopsida; Poales; Poaceae. The record is from RefSeq and is a predicted model, not a curated record.